AGCAACCAGUCCCUAUCUCUGAAUCUCUUUUCUUUUUUCUGUCAUUAGAAUAGGCAAUAAGGAAGUGUGCUAACACCUAGCACAAUGGAGAACAAAGUACUAUGAAUCUAGGGUUCAGAUGGAAGGAAAAAGAAUGUAAACAGAGAAUUUCUCCAAAGGAAAAAGAAAUCAAUCAAGAGUUGGAGAAAAUGUCAGCCUAGAAAAUCAUCCCACCGAUUUCAAGCUACCAGUCUUGUCCAAAGUACUCUGCUAUUGAUCUUCAACUCAGCAUUAAUGAAAGACCUCCCUUACAUGUGUCAGAUCAGAUUAAAGAGAUACUAGUUUGUGGAAGCAUCCAGAAAGCAGAAACACUGAACACUAAGGACACUUGAGCGGCUAUUCCUCCGCCUUACUUGCUCUAAUACUACAUGACGGUUUUUCUUAUCUGCCUUGGUUAAUUCAUUUUAUAGUACUAUCUGGGAAC
Molecule: long non-coding RNA, 463 nt
Filed under: Phascolarctos cinereus (koala)
Lineage: Eukaryota; Metazoa; Chordata; Mammalia; Diprotodontia; Phascolarctidae
Description: lncRNA (ENSPCIG00000017054.2)
Source: RNAcentral